Molecule: ribosomal RNA, 478 nt
Filed under: uncultured bacterium
Lineage: Bacteria
Description: partial 16S ribosomal RNA
Rfam family: Bacterial small subunit ribosomal RNA
Source: RNAcentral
GACGAACGCUGGCGGCAUGCUUAACACAUGCAAGUCGAACGGUAAGGCCCUUCGGGGUACACGAGUGGCGAACGGGUGAGUAACACGUGGGUGUUCCGCCCUGCACUUCGGGAUAAGCCUGGGAAACUGGGUCUAAUACCGGAUAGGACCACUGCCUGCAUGGGUGGUGGUGGAAAGCUUUUGCGGUGUGGGAUGGGCCCGCGGCCUAUCAGCUUGUUGGUGGGGUGAUGGCCUACCAAGGCGACGACGGGGAGCCGGCCUGAGAGGGUGACCGGCCACACUGGGACUGAGAUACGGCCCAGACUCCUACGGGAGGCAGCAGUGGGGAAUAUUGCACAAUGGGCGCAAGCCUGAUGCAGCGACGCCGCGUGAGGGAUGACGGCCUUCGGGUUGUAAACCUCUUUCAGCACCGACGAAGCGCAAGUGACGGUAGGUGCAGAAGAAGGACCGGCCAACUACGUGCCAGCCGCCGCUGUAA